AUCCUCAUCACACGUAGAGAGAGAGAGAGAGGAGAGAACCGUUCGGUGAGAAGAAGAAGAAGAAGAAAAUCUUGGAGAUUUCUUCCUAGACUUGGAUUGAAGCCUAAUUUGGAGGUUCGGGGGACACGUGGCUACGAGGUGAGUGAUUAAUACCCAAAACACAUGGUUUGUUAUAAGCUUUACGCUUCAAUGAUGUUUUAUAAUUUGAUAUGAACUCCAUGGAAUAUCAAUGGAAGGUGGACAUGUUUUAUAUCUAUUAAUGGCAUCCUCCCACGUCCCAGCUUGCUAGGGGACACGUGCUAAAAGGCUAGCAAGGCAUGGCUAUUAUUUCGGAUAACGAAAGACGUCUUAACUUAUCCACUACCGGGGACGCCUGGUAGACAUGAAAUGAAUAGAGGAUGUGCAUUACUAUGUUAUGUUGCUAUGAGAAAUGAUUCAUUUUUUUUAAAUGGUUUUAUCAUUGUCCAUGGAAAGCAUGUGAAUUGCGUAUUAAUCAUUCAUACGAGCUUUGGCUUAUGAAUUUUCCCACCUUUCAGGCAACGAGACGUAGAGUGGUGGCGUGCAACUCUUCUUUUGGUCGCUCUAAGUAGAUGUUGGCUUGUAGAUAGGGAGUUGUUUUUGGUGAGCAUUUUUGUAUGUAAAUAUGCACAGCUCUGGGUGGUUUGCAAUGUAGAGAUCCUUGUAAAGACUUUUGGUUUGGCAUAUGUAAUAAAAUAGAAUUUGCUUC
This is a long non-coding RNA of Rhododendron vialii, 727 nucleotides long. RefSeq lists it as uncharacterized. The transcript is spliced from 2 exons. The record is from RefSeq and is a predicted model, not a curated record. Lineage: Eukaryota; Viridiplantae; Streptophyta; Magnoliopsida; Ericales; Ericaceae.